CCUACGGGAGGCAGCAGUGAGGAAUAUUGGUCAAUGGUCGGGAGACUGAACCAGCCAAGCCGCGUGAGGGAGGAAGGUACAGAGUAUCGUAAACCUCUUUUGUCAGGGAACAAAGGCGGGGACGUGUCCCCGGAUGAGUGUACCUGAAGAAAAAGCAUCGGCUAACUCCGUGCCAGCAGCCGCGGUAAUACGGAGGAUGCGAGCGUUAUCCGGAUUUAUUGGGUUUAAAGGGUGCGCAGGGGGUCUGUUAAGUCAGCGGUCAAAGUCCGGGGCUCAACCCCCGGCCCGCCGUUGAAACUGGCAGUCUCGAGUUGGAGUGAAGUAUGCGGAAUGCGCGGUGUAGCGGUGAAAUGCAUAGAUAUCGCGCAGAACUCCGAUUGCGGAGGCAGCAUGCCGGCUCCACACUGACGCUGAGGCACGAAAGCGUGGGUAUCGAACAGGAUUAGAUACCCCGGUAGUC
Molecule: ribosomal RNA, 460 nt
Filed under: uncultured bacterium
Lineage: Bacteria
Description: partial 16S ribosomal RNA
Rfam family: Bacterial small subunit ribosomal RNA
Source: RNAcentral